CUCCAGACUCCUACGGGAGGCAGCAGUGGGGAAUAUUGGGCAAUGGGCGCAAGCCUGACCCAGCGACGCCGCGUGAGGGAAGACGGUCUUCGGAUUGUAAACCUCUUUCAGCAGGGAAGACAAAAGGACGGUACCUGCAGAAGAAGCCACGGCUAACUACGUGCCAGCAGCCGCGGUAAUACGUAGGUGGCGAGCGUUGUCCGGAAUUACUGGGUGUAAAGGGAGUGUAGGCGGGAAGGCAAGUCAGAAGUGAAAAUUAUGGGCUCAACCCAUAACCUGCUUUUGAAACUGUUUUUCUUGAGUGAAGCAGAGGCAAGCGGAAUUCCUAGUGUAGCGGUGAAAUGCGUAGAUAUUAGGAGGAACACCAGUGGCGAAGGCGGCUUGCUGGGCUUUUACUGACGCUGAGGCUCGAAAGCGUGGGGAGCAAACAGGAUUAGAUACCCCCGUAU
This 449-nucleotide ribosomal RNA is filed under the name uncultured bacterium. Its description in RNAcentral is "bacterial SSU rRNA". It matches the Rfam family "Bacterial small subunit ribosomal RNA", at positions 329 to 793 of the family's 1533-position model. The record is from RNAcentral.